CCUGAGAAACGGCUACCACAUCCAAGGNAAGGCAGCAGGCGCGCAAAUUACCCAAUCCCGACACGGGGNAGGUAGUGACAAUAAAUAACGAUGCAGGGCCCUUUCGGGUCUUGUAAUUGGAAUGAGUACAAUGUAAAUACCUUAACGAGGAACAAUUGGAGGGCAAGUCUGGUGCCAGCAGCCGCGGUAAUUCCAGCUCCAAGAGCGUAUAUUAAAGUUGUUGCAGUUAAAAAGCUCGUAGUUGAACCUUGGAGGCGCCGUGCCGGUCCGCUUAGGCGAGCACUGGAGGCGGCGCCUCUUUCCUCCUCCUCUUAGCAAUAAGAGGAGGACUGUUACUUUGAGUAAAUGAGAGUGUUCAAAGCAGGCGCACGCUUGAAUCUGUUAGCAUGGAAUAAUAGAAUAGGACGCAUGGUUCUAUUUUGUUGGUUUCUAGGACCAUCGUAAUGAUUAAUAGGGACGGUCGGGGGCAUCAGUAUUCAGUUGUCAGAGGUGAAAUUCUUGGAUUUACUGAAGACUAACUACUGCGAAAGCAUUUGCCAAGGACGUUUUCAUUAAUCAAGAACGAAAGUUAGGGGAUCGAAGAUGAUCAGAUACCGUCGUAGUCUUAACCAUAAACUAUGCCGACUAGGGAUCGGGCGGCGUUCAUUUAGUGACGCGCUCGGCACCUUACNAGAAAUCAAAGUCUUUGGGUUCUGGGGGGAGUAUGGUCGCAAGGCUGAAACUUAAAGGAAUUGACGGAAGGGCACCACCA
RNAcentral lists this ribosomal RNA (751 nucleotides) under Clavispora lusitaniae. Its description in RNAcentral is "SSU rRNA". It matches the Rfam family "Eukaryotic small subunit ribosomal RNA", at positions 395 to 1172 of the family's 1831-position model. The record is from RNAcentral. Lineage: Eukaryota; Fungi; Ascomycota; Pichiomycetes; Serinales; Metschnikowiaceae.